UACGGAGGGGGCGAGCGUUAUUCGGAAUUAUUGGGCGUAAAGGGCGCGUAGGCGGUGCGGUAAGUCACCUGUGAAAUCUCUGGGCUCAACUCAGAGUCUGCAGGCGAAACUGCCGGGCUUGAGUGUGGGAGAGGUGAGUGGAAUUUCCGGUGUAGCGGUGAAAUGCGUAGAUAUCGGAAGGAACACCUGUGGCGAAAGCGGCUCACUGGACCACAACUGACGCUGAUGCACGAAAGCUAGGGGAGCAAACAGG
Molecule: ribosomal RNA, 253 nt
Filed under: uncultured bacterium
Lineage: Bacteria
Description: partial 16S ribosomal RNA
Rfam family: Bacterial small subunit ribosomal RNA
Source: RNAcentral